AGCAGCCGCGGUAAUUCCAGCUCCAAUAGCGUAUAUUAAAGUUGUUGCAGUUAAAAAGCUCGUAGUUGAAUUUCGGGAUUGACACAUCGGUCGUGCCUUAAGGGGUAUGAACUGGUGUAGUCAAUUUCUCACCUUCUGGAGAACCGCGAUGCCCUUAAUUGGGUGUCACGGGGAACCAGGACCUUUACUUUGAAAAAUUAGAGUGUUUAAAGCAGGCAUUUUGCUUGAAUACAUUAGCAUGGAAUAAUAAAAUAGGACGGCAUGAUUCUAUUUUGUUGGUUUCUAGGAUCACCGUAAUGAUUAAUAGGGAUAGUUGGGGGCAUUAGUAUUCAAUUGUCAGAGGUGAAAUUCUUGGAUUUAUUGAAGACUAACUACUGCGAAAGCAUUUGCCAAGGAUGUUUUCAUUAAUCAAGAACGAAAGUUAGGGGAUCGAAGACGAUCAGAUACCGUCGUAGUCUUAACCAUAAACUAUGCCGACUAGGAAUCAGACGACGUUAAUUUUUAAUGACUCGUUUGGCAC
Molecule: small RNA, 520 nt
Filed under: uncultured Entrophospora
Lineage: Eukaryota; Fungi; Glomeromycota; Glomeromycetes; Entrophosporales; Entrophosporaceae
Description: SSU rRNA
Rfam family: Eukaryotic small subunit ribosomal RNA
Source: RNAcentral